Long non-coding RNA from Stylophora pistillata, 274 nucleotides. The record is from RefSeq and is a predicted model, not a curated record. Lineage: Eukaryota; Metazoa; Cnidaria; Anthozoa; Scleractinia; Pocilloporidae.
AAAGCGUCAAGCAUGGAUUAAAAAAAGCUUCUGGAGAUCAGGCAAUUCAAGCAAAGAUUUUAAAAAAAGAUAACUUCUGACAAGCCCGUCUUGUGAAUACUUCUCGUUCUUCAAGUGCGAAUCAAACAAAAAAGACUUCUUCUCCAUAGAAGAUUCAAUCCGAGGUACAAUACAAGCGUAACAGUUUCCUCUAGAAUGCGGCUAGUCAACGCUUACAACUAUAUGGACUUGAAGACAGAUGUAAGCCAAUUUUACUUUGCGAUUUUGUUGGACA